Molecule: non-coding RNA, 24 nt
Filed under: Arabidopsis thaliana (thale cress)
Lineage: Eukaryota; Viridiplantae; Streptophyta; Magnoliopsida; Brassicales; Brassicaceae
Source: RNAcentral
GGGGACAGAGUGUAUCUUAAGAUG